Musa acuminata subsp. malaccensis (wild Malaysian banana) is the source of this 710-nucleotide long non-coding RNA. RefSeq lists it as uncharacterized. The record is from RefSeq and is a predicted model, not a curated record. Lineage: Eukaryota; Viridiplantae; Streptophyta; Magnoliopsida; Zingiberales; Musaceae.
GAUAAAAGCUAUAACCCCCUUCACAUUAGCACUCUUCCUUUCUUCUCCUAUAUAUUUCUCCUCUCAUCAUCCCCUCCUCUCCCCUCCUGUAAAAGCCUCCUUCUGUACAACCAUCAAAAGCCUCUCUUCUCUUCUUUUCUUAAUUCCUAUGACUACUGUUCUAUUGAUCUCAUGUCGAUACUCCAUCUUCCUACGGUGUGCACCACAAGUAGCUGAAGCUGCCAGCAUGAUCUGAUCAUAUCCUGGAUCUGUGCGUUGUAUGGAUCUCCACAGGGAGAAAAAAAACUCAGAUCAUCUGGCAGUUUCAUCUGCUGAUGGGAGCACAUGAAAACCCUAACCCUAAUUCAUCAGGGUUUCUUCAGGGAGACAAUGGAGAGCUUAAGCACAAAACAUAGCAUCAGCAGCAAAAGUGAGACAUUUCUUAGAAAGAGAUGCUAGUAAUGAAGGAAAUUAAUGAUCAAUUAGGUCAAGUGUGGCACAAAUGCUGCAGAUGUGAAGCAGGAGGAAGCAGCUUGAAACCUGGGAAAGAACUCAUCAGGUGGCUAUUAAUGCCUGUUUGUUGCCACUUGGUAGCUAAUCAACAUCAAUUUGAGGCCCUCAAAGGACCGUUAGCUGGUAGUCAGAAUUCGAUGUUUUGUGUCCUUUUUGCAGGCGAUGCAGCACGAAAGUACUAUUCUAACUAUCAAAUGAAAACAUGUCCCAAUUCUAUC